AAACUUGAGAGUUUGAUCCUGGCUCAGAACGAACGCUGGCGGCAGGCUUAACACAUGCAAGUCGAGCGCCC
RNAcentral lists this ribosomal RNA (71 nucleotides) under Mesorhizobium sp. Its description in RNAcentral is "partial 16S ribosomal RNA". It matches the Rfam family "Bacterial small subunit ribosomal RNA", at positions 1 to 71 of the family's 1533-position model. Lineage: Bacteria; Pseudomonadati; Pseudomonadota; Alphaproteobacteria; Hyphomicrobiales; Phyllobacteriaceae. The record is from RNAcentral.